GGAAGUCAAUGGUGAAGCAAGGGCUGGAGGUGAAGGAGUGAGAGUAAGAAGAGGAGAAUGAGGAAGGACAGUUGUCUCAGAUGAGAUCUGGGCCACAUUGGUUGACCAUGUGCUCAACCAUUGAUUGAGUAUAGGGGAGGCUGGGCAGAGAGUUUAGCCCAACCUGAGCUGCUACACGGUUGCAUCUAUCAUCCGUACAUUCAGAAAUGAGAACCGAACCGAAAGACGACCACCACGGGUGGUAGAAUGCAUCUACAGACCAACAGGAGGCUGCCAUUGUACAAACGGUAGUUGAAAAUCCAACAGCAGAUUAUUUAAAACCCUGCCAUCUUCCAUAACGUCAGAGUGAGCUUAUUAUCAACCACAGCCCCCAUCCUUCAGAAACACCAUCUCCGGAUGAAGCACAUCUACAGAGCCCCAUUUGAAAGGAAUUCCCAAAGAGUGAAGGAUAAACGAGAAUCGUGGAGUUGGAUGCAAGUCCCAUCCCCCAGGAACUCAUACUCAUCGAUGAGGCUGGAUUCAGCGACGACGAGGAGGAGAGGAAGGAACAUCAUUGGUCAACGUGCCACAUUGAGGUACCUGGCCAGCGCGGGGGAAAUGUCAUCGUAUACACAGCUAUGAGCCACAAUGGGGUCCUCCACCGCCAUGCCACCCUUGGACCAUACAACACUGCCCAUCUCCAUCUCUCCAUCUGGCCCUUCUCCAGGCAAUGGAGGAUGCCUGUGGUGACGUUCCAGCAGAGUCCUGUCAGGGAUGGAUGAGUCAAGCCAAAAUACAUUUCCCCCACUGUCUGACCAAGGAGAAUAUCGCCUGUGAUGUUGAUAACAUUCUGUGGCCGGACCAAAACAACAGGCAUGACUGAUUUUGUUUUCGCAAUGCAGUAUUUGUUUCUUGACUGAUGAUUUAGAUUUCUUCAUCUACAUAUAAUACAGUAGUAUUUGUCUUCCUUUGCAUAUGCAAAAUAUAUUUACUGUAUGUUUGCAUU
Long non-coding RNA from Oncorhynchus gorbuscha (pink salmon), 985 nucleotides. RefSeq lists it as uncharacterized. The transcript is spliced from 3 exons. Lineage: Eukaryota; Metazoa; Chordata; Actinopteri; Salmoniformes; Salmonidae. The record is from RefSeq and is a predicted model, not a curated record.